Non-coding RNA from Cicer arietinum (chickpea), 254 nucleotides. The record is from RefSeq and is a predicted model, not a curated record. Lineage: Eukaryota; Viridiplantae; Streptophyta; Magnoliopsida; Fabales; Fabaceae.
AUAUGAAUCAUGAUAGCUUCUAGAUGACCCUGAAGUUUCUGGAAAGAAAACUCUCUCAUCCACACCCUCUCUUAUUCCUUGAACAUGCCUCCUUUAACAAGAAUCAAUGUAACAGCUAUUGCAAUUUAAGACCAUGAUCAGAAGAGAAGAGAGUAAAUUUCUUGGUUUUCUACAUACCUAUAGUCCUUUUCAUCAUGAGAAUAAGAUCCAGAGUCCAAAAACAGGUGAUGAGUAGUGGAAUCUUGUUGAGUUUG